GUGCUUUCUUUGGCAGUAUAUAUACUGAACGUGAAAUGCCACAUAGAGGAAUAACCUGGUUCCAAUACAAGGAUGACAUGCAUAUUUGUGAAAUAUUUCAUAUUGUG
This is a small nuclear RNA of Ochotona princeps (American pika), 107 nucleotides long. Lineage: Eukaryota; Metazoa; Chordata; Mammalia; Lagomorpha; Ochotonidae. The record is from Ensembl.